This 297-nucleotide ribosomal RNA is filed under the name Triticum aestivum (bread wheat). RNAcentral's name for it is "partial small subunit ribosomal RNA". The record is from RNAcentral. Lineage: Eukaryota; Viridiplantae; Streptophyta; Magnoliopsida; Poales; Poaceae.
AUGCGGACGAGUGGUGCUGAUGGUUUCGGUGCGGCUGCUCCUGCUCGUAUCGCCGCCACGACGGCGGUCGCUGCCGAGCACUUGCCUAAGGUCAUCAGAAGCCAGGAAAGCGAUAUGCCGCCGGAUCCGGAGCUUGACUCCAGACUCCCGCAACAUGAGUUUGACUCCGAGUUGUGCGCCACUGAGAAGUACCAAAAGCUGAGUUGUGUGCACGGGCACACUCCCGCUCGACGUGUAUGCACGGAGGGAUUCGACAUUGGCAGGUGGUUUCUCAGUUGCACCUUAGAGGGAUAUUGA